UACGUAGGGGGCAAGCGUUAUCCGGAUUUACUGGGUGUAAAGGGAGCGUAGACGGCAGCGCAAGUCCGAAGUGAAAGCCCGGGGCCCAACCCCGGGACUGCUUUGGAAACUGUGAAGCUGGAGUGCGGGAGGGGCAAGCGGAAUUCCUGGUGUAGCGGUGAAAUGCGUAGAUAUCAGGAGGAACACCGGCGGCGAAGGCGGCCUGCUGGACCGUAACUGACGUUGAGGCUCGAAAGCGUGGGGAGCAAACAGG
Molecule: ribosomal RNA, 253 nt
Filed under: uncultured bacterium
Lineage: Bacteria
Description: partial 16S ribosomal RNA
Rfam family: Bacterial small subunit ribosomal RNA
Source: RNAcentral